GACGAACGCUGGCGGCGUGCUUAACACAUGCAAGUCGAACGGAAAGGCCCUGCUUUUGUGGGGUUCUCGAGUGGCGAACGGGUGAGUAACACGUGAGUAACCUGCCCUUGACUUUGGGGUAACUUCAGGAAACUGGGUCUAAUACCGGAUAGGAGCUUCUGCGGCAUGGUGGGGGUUGGAAAGUUUCGGCGGUUGGGGAUGGACUCGCGGAUUUGCAGCUUGUUGGUGGGGUAGUGGCUUACCAAGGCUUUGACGGGUAGCCGGCCUGAGAGGGUGACCGGCCCCAUUGGGACUGAGGUACGGACCAGAGUCCAACGGGAGGCAGCAGUGGGAAAUAUUGCACAAUGGGCGGAAGCCUGAUGCAGCAACGCCGCGUGCGGAAUGACGGCUUUCGGGUUGUAAACAGCUUUCGCCUGUGACGAAGAGUGAGUGACGGUAAUGGGUCAAGAAGCACCGGCUAACUACGUG
Molecule: ribosomal RNA, 468 nt
Filed under: uncultured bacterium
Lineage: Bacteria
Description: partial 16S ribosomal RNA
Rfam family: Bacterial small subunit ribosomal RNA
Source: RNAcentral